AAACCAACAGGGAUUGCCUUAGUAACGGCGAGUGAAGCGGCAAAAGCUCAAAUUUGAAAUCUGGCACUUUCAGUGUCCGAGUUGUAAUUUGAAGAAGGUAACUUUGGAGUUGGCCCUUGUCUAUGUUCCUUGGAACAGGACGUCACAGAGGGUGAGAAUCCCGUGCGAUGAGGUGUCCAAUUCUAUGUAAAGUGCUUUCGAAGAGUCGAGUUGUUUGGGAAUGCAGCUCUAAGUGGGUGGUAAAUUCCAUCUAAAGCUAAAUAUUGGCGAGAGACCGAUAGCGAACAAGUACAGUGAUGGAAAGAUGAAAAGAACUUUGAAAAGAGAGUGAAAAAGUACGUGAAAUUGUUGAAAGGGAAGGGCUUGAGAUCAGACUCGGUAUUUUGCAAGCCUAUCCUUCGUGGAGAGGUUUAUUAGCAGCUUACCGGGCCAGCAUCGGUUUGGAUGGUAGGAUAAUGGCAUUGGAAUGUGGCUCCUCGGAGUGUUAUAGCCUUUGUUGAUACUGCCUAUCUAGACCGAGGACUGCGUCUUUGACUAGGAUGCUGGCGUAAUGAUCUUAAGCCGC
This 565-nucleotide ribosomal RNA is filed under the name Kurtzmaniella quercitrusa. RNAcentral describes it as "partial large subunit ribosomal RNA". It matches the Rfam family "Eukaryotic large subunit ribosomal RNA", at positions 62 to 648 of the family's 3401-position model. The record is from RNAcentral. Lineage: Eukaryota; Fungi; Ascomycota; Pichiomycetes; Serinales; Debaryomycetaceae.